RNAcentral lists this ribosomal RNA (245 nucleotides) under uncultured bacterium. RNAcentral's name for it is "partial 16S ribosomal RNA". It matches the Rfam family "Bacterial small subunit ribosomal RNA", at positions 524 to 766 of the family's 1533-position model. The record is from RNAcentral.
UACAGAGGGGGCAAGCGUUAUUCGGAAUUAUUGGGCGUAAAGGGCGCGUAGGCGGCCUGGCAAGUGGAAGGUGAAAUCCCUCGGCUUAACCGGGGAACUGCGUCCGAUACUGGAUGGCUUGAGUUCGGGAGAGGGAUGCGGAAUUCCAGGUGUAGCGGUGAAAUGCGUAGAUAUCUGGAGGAACACCGGUGGCGAAGGCGGCAUCCUGGACCGACACUGACGCGUGAGGAGACGAAAGCCAGGGG